RNAcentral lists this ribosomal RNA (506 nucleotides) under uncultured bacterium. Its description in RNAcentral is "partial 16S ribosomal RNA". It matches the Rfam family "Bacterial small subunit ribosomal RNA", at positions 29 to 523 of the family's 1533-position model. The record is from RNAcentral.
AGUGAACGCUGGCGGUAGGCCUAAUACAUGCAAGUCGAACGGCAGCACAGGAGAGCUUGCUCUCUGGGUGGCGAGUGGCGGACGGGUGAGGAAUACAUCGGAAUCUACUUUUUCGUGGGGGAUAACGUAGGGAAACUUACGCUAAUACCGCAUACGACCUACGGGUGAAAGCAGGGGAUCUUCGGACCCUGCGCGAUUGAAUGAGCCGAUGUCGGAUUAGCUAGUUGGCGGGGUAAAGGCCCGCCAAGGCGACGAUCCGUAGCUGGUCUGAGAGGAUGAUCAGCCACACUGGAACUGAGACACGGUCCAGACUCCUACGGGAGGCAGCAGUGGGGAAUAUUGGACAAUGGGCGCAAGCCUGAUCCAGCCAUACCGCGUGGGUGAAGAAGGCCUUCGGGUUGUAAAGCCCUUUUGUUGGGAAAGAAAUCCAGCUGGUUAAUACCCGGUUGGGAUGACGGUACCCAAAGAAUAAGCACCGGCUAACUUCGUGCCAGCCGCCGCGGUAA